RNAcentral lists this ribosomal RNA (741 nucleotides) under uncultured bacterium. Its description in RNAcentral is "bacterial SSU rRNA". It matches the Rfam family "Bacterial small subunit ribosomal RNA", at positions 94 to 823 of the family's 1533-position model. The record is from RNAcentral.
AGCGGCGGAUGGGUGAGUAACACGUGGGGAACCUGCCCCUAAGUCUGGGAUACCAUUUGGAAACAGGUGCUAAUACCGGAUAAUAAAGCAGAUCGCAUGAUCAGCUUUUGAAAGGCGGCGUAAGCUGUCGCUAAGGGAUGGCCCCGCGGUGCAUUAGCUAGUUGGUAAGGUAACGGCUUACCAAGGCGACGAUGCAUAGCCGAGUCGAGAGACUGAUCGGCCACAUUGGGACUGAGACACGGCCCAAACUCCUACGGGAGGCAGCAGUAGGGAAUCUUCCACAAUGGACGCAAGUCUGAUGGAGCAACGCCGCGUGAGUGAAGAAGGUUUUCGGAUCGUAAAGCUCUGUUGUUGGUGAAGAAGGAUAGAGGUAGUAACUGGCCUUUAUUUGACGGUAAUCAACCAGAAAGUCACGGCUAACUACGUGCCAGCAGCCGCGGUAAUACGUAGGUGGCAAGCGUUGUCCGGAUUUAUUGGGCGUAAAGCGAGCGCAGGCGGAAAAAUAAGUCUAAUGUGAAAGCCCUCGGCUUAACCGAGGAACUGCAUCGGAAACUGUUUUUCUUGAGUGCAGAAGAGGAGAGUGGAACUCCAUGUGUAGCGGUGGAAUGCGUAGAUAUAUGGAAGAACACCAGUGGCGAAAGCGGCUCUCUGGUCUGCAACUGACGCUGAGGCUCGAAAGCAUGGUAGCGAACAGGAUUAGAUACCCUGGUAGUCCAUGCCGUAACGAUGAGUGCUAAGUGU